This 371-nucleotide ribosomal RNA is filed under the name uncultured organism. RNAcentral's name for it is "bacterial SSU rRNA". It matches the Rfam family "Bacterial small subunit ribosomal RNA", at positions 526 to 896 of the family's 1533-position model. The record is from RNAcentral.
CGUAGGGUGCGAGCGUUAAUCGGAAUUACUGGGCGUAAAGCGUGCGCAGGCGGUUUUGUAAGACAGGCGUGAAAUCCCCGGGCUCAACCUGGGAACUGCGCUUGUGACUGCAAGGCUAGAGUACGGCAGAGGGGGUGGAAUUCCACGUGUAGCAGUGAAAUGUGUAGAGAUGUGGAGGAACACCAAUGGCGAAGGCAGCCCCCUGGGUCGAUACUGACGCUCAUGCACGAAAGCGUGGGUAGCAAACAGGAUUAGAUACCCUGGUAGUCCACGCCCUAAACGAUGUCAACUAGGUGUUGGGUAGGGUAAAACCAUUUAGUACCGGAGCUAACGCGUGAAGUUGACCGCUGGGGAGUACGGCCGCAAGGUUA